GAUGAACGCUGGCGGCGUGCCUAAUUCAUGCCAGUCGAGCGAACAGACGAGGAGCUUGCUCCUCUGACGUUAGCGGCGGACGGGUGAGUAACACGUGGAUAACCUACCUAUAAGACUGGGAUAACUUCGGGAAACCGGAGCUAAUACCGGAUAACAUGUUGAACCGCAUGGUUCAACAGUGAAAGACGGUUUUGCUGUCACUUAUAGAUGGAUCCGCGUCGCAUUAGCUAGUUGGUAAGGUAACGGCUUACCAAGGCAACGAUGCGUAGCCGACCUGAGAGGGUGAUCGGCCACACUGGAACUGAGACACGGUCCAGACUCCUACGGGAGGCAGCAGUAGGGAAUCUUCCGCAAUGGGCGAAAGCCUGACGGAGCAACGCCGCGUGAGUGAAGAAGGUCUUCGGAUCGUAAAACUCUGUUAUUAGGGAAGAACAAAUGUGUAAGUAACUAUGCACGUCUUGACGGUACCUAAUCAGAAAGCCACGGCUAACUACGUG
This 497-nucleotide ribosomal RNA is filed under the name uncultured bacterium. RNAcentral's name for it is "partial 16S ribosomal RNA". It matches the Rfam family "Bacterial small subunit ribosomal RNA", at positions 28 to 507 of the family's 1533-position model. The record is from RNAcentral.